This 503-nucleotide ribosomal RNA is filed under the name uncultured bacterium. Its description in RNAcentral is "partial 16S ribosomal RNA". It matches the Rfam family "Bacterial small subunit ribosomal RNA", at positions 30 to 507 of the family's 1533-position model. The record is from RNAcentral.
CGAACGCUGGCGGCGUGCCUAAUACAUGCAAGUAGAACGCACAGUUUAUACCGUAGCUUGCUACACCAUAGACUGUGAGUUGCGAACGGGUGAGUAACGCGUAGGUAACCUGCCUGGUAGCGGGGGAUAACUAUUGGAAACGAUAGCUAAUACCGCAUAAUAUUAAUUAUUGCAUGAUAAUUAAUUGAAAGGUGCAAUUGCACCACUACCAGAUGGACCUGCGUUGUAUUAGCUAGUAGGUGAGGUAACGGCUCACCUAGGCGACGAUACAUAGCCGACCUGAGAGGGUGAUCGGCCACACUGGGACUGAGACACGGCCCAGACUCCUACGGGAGGCAGCAGUAGGGAAUCUUCGGCAAUGGACGAAAGUCUGACCGAGCAACGCCGCGUGAGUGAAGAAGGUUUUCGGAUCGUAAAGCUCUGUUGUAGGAGAAGAACGGGUGUGAGAGUGGAAAGUUCACACUGUGACGGUAUCUUACCAGAAAGGGACGGCUAACUACGUG